AGACCUGGUGGAGGCCAAGGCCAAAUCUGCACCCCAGAAAGCAAGUCUCUCCCACCCUCCUGAUGAAGGCCAAUCCACCCCCUGCACAACAGCUCUGAGAAGGUUGUGGAUGUAGGCUGACCAACUGUCUUGGUUUGUCCCAGCACUCAGGGGUUUCCCAGGAGGCAGGGCUUUCUGUGCUAAAACGGGAUGGUUCUGGGCAAACCAGGACAGCUGAUGACCACAGUGGGAGAUGGUAGGCUGGGACAAGGGACCAGCGGGGCCAGAGAGAAAGGUCAGGCAGCCGGGCCCUUCCCUGUACACCAGCAGCUGCCUCCCAGCCUCAAAUUCUCCCAGCCUCCAGCACCAGGGCUUCAUCCCCCAGGCGCUAAGGAACUGCCGUCCCCUGGGGAUGGUCCCAUGGGGCAGCCUGGCUGUAUGUUCUCCAAGCCUUGGUAGUUACAUGGGAAAGCUGUGAGUUGGACUCAGGGGUGGAUUCAGAUUUUUUGGGGGAGUCAAGCUUACUCAUGCAAUAUAGGGGCUGGGGGGGGGGUGCUCUUCUUGAGAAAAGGAAUACACGGCUGCUAACACAAAGUGACCACGGAAGGACUAUGAAGCUUAAACUUCAUCAGCUUCAAGAAAGAACACCUCUUUCUGUCCCAUGUGGCCAUAAUGAGGUUCUCAGUCCAGGUAUCUGGUACCACGUUCUCCACAAGGCACUGCAGUUUCUCUCCUGGACCAUCACAGUGGCUCCAGAUCGGCUUCCCCAGUGCCUGGAACAGAACAGGCUCACUGAACGAUUGCUGAGUGAGUACAUGGUAUAUACCAGUGGCCCUUCUACCCUCCUCCAUCCCAAGGCUACUGGUUCUGAAGUCAACACUUUGGACCUGGACCCAACUGCAACAUGUUAGAGGCAUGAAGUGGUGGCCUAUGGCAGGUGGGUGGACACUGAGGAAUGGGCUAAUUGGGGCAGAGCUGCAGAGGCUGAGGAAGAAGAAACAGUGGGCAGAGACAAGGCUGUGAAGAGCUUGGGAUGUCUAGUAAGGAUUGUGCACUUUACUUUGUCGGCCUUGGGGAAGCCCUUGAGGGUUUCAGGAAGUUAGAGGACAUGAUCUGAUUUCUUAGAAAGGUUGCUUUGGAAUGAAGGAAUGUGGUGUGGAGACGGAAAACCAGAUAGGAACCGCCUGCCAAUCGUUUACAUAAGAAUUGAGAGUGGCCAGCCAGGGUGGUGAUGGUAGUGGAGAAGGGGACCAGGUUCAAGAGGCAUUAAAGAGGUAAUAUGAGGGACACCUGGGUGGCUCAGUGGUUGGGCGGCUGCCUUUGGCUCAGGUCAUGAUCCUGGGGUCCUGGGAUAGAGGCCUGUGUCUGGCUCCCUGCAGGGAGCCUGCUUC
Canis lupus familiaris (dog) is the source of this 1370-nucleotide long non-coding RNA. RefSeq lists it as uncharacterized. The transcript has 4 exons. Lineage: Eukaryota; Metazoa; Chordata; Mammalia; Carnivora; Canidae. The record is from RefSeq and is a predicted model, not a curated record.